This is a long non-coding RNA of Piliocolobus tephrosceles (Ugandan red Colobus), 930 nucleotides long. RefSeq lists it as uncharacterized. The transcript is spliced from 3 exons. The record is from RefSeq and is a predicted model, not a curated record. NCBI's taxonomy places the organism in Eukaryota, Metazoa, Chordata, Mammalia, Primates, Cercopithecidae.
UUACAUUCUGUAAAUACUUUGUUUUUUUGAGAUGUUGGGACUCCAGUGAGCAGUGAUCAUGCCUCUGCACUCCAGCCUGGGCGACAAAGGGAGACCCUGUCUCAAAAAUAAAUAAAUAAAAAUCACUGAAAACUAUACCGCAACAUAGAAGAAUGACACAACUGAAAACUAGGAUGCAAAAAAGCAUUUCUGAUGAGAAUGAUAUAAAAUUAAGUCUGUAAAUGGACCAAAUUGGAAGCACAGACACAGAGGUAUGCCCAGAGUGCUGUGGGAGCAAAGUGGAAGGAGUAAGGUGAUAUUUGAGCUACAUUCAGAAGGAAUUCUCCAAGCAGACAGCUUUAAGUCAACUGCCUGUAGGGUGGCAUCAACACACAUUUGCUCUACGAAUGACUACUGGAUACAUCUGUGCAUUCAUCCCUUCCCUGACACAGAGCCAGCCUGGGGCAGGUGGGCCUGAGGCUUACCUGCUGCUUCACAUUCCCAGCCUGCUGGUGGCCCACGUUUUCUUCUUCAUCAGCACUGACAGUUUCUUCUAGAGACCUUCAGGGAAGACCAUACAUAUGCCCUUUGAAAAAUGACCAGGGGCUGGGCACAGUGGCUCACUCCUGUAAUCCCAGCACUUUGGGAGGCUGAGGCAGGUGGAUCACCUGAGGUCAGGAGUUCGAGACAAGUCUGGCCAACAUGGUGGUGCAUAUCUAUAAUCCCAGCUACUUGGGAGGCUGAGGCAGGAUAAUCGUUUGAACCCGGGAGGCGGAGGUUGCAGUGAGCCAAGAUUGCUAGAAGAUGGAAUCACAUGACAAUGGAGGUAAGUUGCAGCUUCAACCUCCCUAGGCUCAGGUGAUCCUCCCACCUCAGCCUCCUGAGUAUCUGGGACCACAGGCACCCACCACCAUGCCCGGCUAAAUUUUUUUUUUUCCUUUUUUUUGUAGA